CCUGAGAGCACAGGGGGAGGGACAAUGAUCGGGAUAUAAACACCAGCAUUGGAGCAGGGAGCGGCAUCCCCCUUUGGGUCCCCUCCCACUUUAUGGGAGCUCUGUUUUUCACUCUAUUAAAUCUUGCAACUGCAUUCUUCUGGUCCAUAUUUAUUACUGCUCGAGCUGAGCUUUUGCUCGCUGUCCACCACUGCUGUUUGCCGCUGUCGCAGACCCGCGGCUGACUUCACCCCUCUAGAUCCGGCAGGGUGUCUGCUGCACUUCUGACCCAGUGAGGCAGCGCCCACUGCCGCUCCCAAUCGGGCUAGAGGCUCGCCAUUGUUCCUGCGAGGGCUAAGUGCCCCGAGUUCGUCCUAAUCGAGCUGAAUAGAGGUAUAACACUCACCGCAUGGUCCAAGAUUCCAUUCCUUGAAAUCCGUGAGGCCAAGAACCCCAGGUCAGAGAACAAGAGGCUUGCCACCAUCUUGGAAGCUCUAAGAACAAGGAUGCCCAGCCAUCCGGGCAUAGCCACAAGACCUUGUGACAUUACCAAGGACCUUGACUGUCCACCACAGAUCCCCUGUCCACAUAUAAAAGUGAGUCGAUA
RNAcentral lists this long non-coding RNA (586 nucleotides) under Homo sapiens (human). RNAcentral's name for it is "HSALNT0008547". The record is from RNAcentral. Lineage: Eukaryota; Metazoa; Chordata; Mammalia; Primates; Hominidae.